This 1085-nucleotide long non-coding RNA is filed under the name Macaca nemestrina (pig-tailed macaque). RNAcentral describes it as "lncRNA (ENSMNEG00000045652.1)". Lineage: Eukaryota; Metazoa; Chordata; Mammalia; Primates; Cercopithecidae. The record is from RNAcentral.
GUCUGAUCUUACUAUAUUUUUCCAUCCUUCUACUCUCUUAAGAGUUGCUAUGUUUUUCUCUGUUCUUUUAAAAUGGAAACAAAGAAAAGAUUGUACUUGACAAGAUAAGGAAACAGAAGUUGAUUCUGAUCAUCUCACCAUGGUAUACUUCCGGUAAUAUUGCUGCAAGAGGGGAGAGAGCACAGUUGAAACAAAAGGCAGGAGAGUUUUCCGGAGCUGGAACAAAAUAUUCAGCUGGAUGUUUGUCCCAAUUCUAAUAUCCCUGCAAAGAUGAGAUGCAUGAAUCACACAGCAAUCUCAUCAAAAAGGUGGGAUCCCCAACUGUGUGGAUCCUGGUAAGAAGAGCCCCCACCCCUCCCUGGAAUCCAGGACACUGGCAUCUAACUCACUCCAGGCCAACUGGAGGGCCCUACCUGUGUCUUCAAAGCUUGAUUAAAUGAUACAUUGCAAGGCCAAUUUAGGAUUUCUUGAAAGAGGUAAUGCGGGGUGGCAUGGCAGUGUUGUCUAGUUGUAGCAGUAUUCACUAGAGGCUCUGGCAGUGGCAAUAUCCAUGGUGUUCAUGGGGUGUGACCAGACUCUUCUCAGAUUGUGACCUUGGUUUUUGCCCGUCUUCCCUGAGAUCAAACCUGCUUCUCUAGCCCUCUCAUUCAUUCUAUAAACACCUUGAUAUUCCUCUACUAGAGGCCUUUUCUGUUUCAGUUAAUCACACUUUAUCUUACUUGUACCAAGAACAUUGACAGACCUGACAAAGGGUCAUAGAUUUCUUUCCAAAGCUUUGCUUCUAUGAAAUUUCCCUCUCACAAAGGAGAUUUCUCUGUAGGAAAGCCUUUGAGGCAAUGGUUCAGGCUAUGGCAGGCAUUAGUCUGUAACUGACCUAAGAUAGGAAAGAAAAUGGGUACAAGAAUCUCAAAAAUAUAACCACUACCCAAAACACUGUGGUGGUUUAGAAAAUACUUUGCAGGUGAAACACUUCCUUCUUUUUUUAUUAUUAUUAUACUUUAAGUUCUAGGGUAUAUGUGCACAACGUGCAGGUUUGUUACAUAUGUAUACAUGUGCCAUGUUGGUGUGCUGCACCCAUUAACUCG